This is a long non-coding RNA of Peromyscus eremicus (cactus mouse), 335 nucleotides long. RefSeq lists it as uncharacterized. The record is from RefSeq and is a predicted model, not a curated record. NCBI's taxonomy places the organism in Eukaryota, Metazoa, Chordata, Mammalia, Rodentia, Cricetidae. The transcript is spliced from 2 exons.
GCCAGCAUCUAUGGUGAGAGUCAGUUGCCAUGGCCCGAAGGAGAGUUUUACAGACAAGGAUGGUCCUUGUAGGUCCUGCAACAGACCCAGAGGAUAGUCAUCACAGUGUUGAAGAGGCUGCACCCUUGCCUGUGUCUGAGCCUGCCCAUAAGUUCCAGCCUGGAGACUUGGUGUAGGUAAAGAGAAUCUCAACCCAAAACAGCAAUGAAGGUCACCAAUGUCACCCUGUGGAGCCACCACACCUAGCCAAAAAAGGCUACAGAAGAUAAUGACAGAUGGAUCAUCACAAGUCCUCUGACCCCCCCCCCCAAAGAAGCCUGACAUGAGCCCUAUAA